RNAcentral lists this long non-coding RNA (1827 nucleotides) under Anas platyrhynchos platyrhynchos (common mallard). RNAcentral's name for it is "lncRNA (ENSAPLG00000024001.1)". The record is from RNAcentral. Lineage: Eukaryota; Metazoa; Chordata; Aves; Anseriformes; Anatidae.
UGAGGAGUCCCAUUAUUUCUGUUCAAACUGUUCCACUUCGCAUGGAAUGAAUAUUCAUCAGGCUCAUGAGGGAAUGAAAGUAUAAAAGUAUAUCUAUAGCUGGGUUGUUAGGAUGCUCAGCAGGGAAGGUGGGUGAGUUGUAUGAAGGGAUACAUAAGGUGAGUCCUUGCUUGAAUUCUUGCAACAAAAGCAAGAAAACACUCCCUCAAGCAAGAGCACCCCCACCCCCCCACCCAGGUGAGUCAGAUGAGUGCAUGAGCGUAUAAACCACUUUUUUUUUUUUUUUUUUUUUUUUUUUUUUUUUUUUAUUACAUCACUUGUGUGUGUCCAGAAGAACAACUUCAGCAGAAGUGCUUUUUCAGGCAGGGUAAUAGUGGAUCUUCCACUUCCUAUCUGAGUGCUCUCAGGUAGUGGAUGUGUGCAGGAAGAAAGGCUUCUUAUCCUCCCACCGUGCAAGUUAAAUAAGCAAUACAGUCUAAGCAUGUCCUGAAUUACCUGGCCAGGAAUGAAUCCCACCAAGCUUGUUGUGAAAUUAUUUGGAAAGAUGUUGACAAGGUAGUCUGAACAGGACACUCAUAUGUGCAGGACCAGAACCAGGAAACAGAAUCAGGAAACAUUUGUCAACAUUAUGAAAAGGAUGCACUAUGGAGGUUCCUUGUCCUAAAAACACAGAAACAUGGACCCGGAAAGGACUACAGGAAGCUGACCUGCCCAGGCUUAGAGUUGUCCCGACCAGCUUUUGGGGAUGUCUGAUUUUUCAGACUCAUUUGACUUCUGGUUCUGAACUUGUCACCAAAGAAGCUGAAGCCCAAUGCCAAUACUAUUAGUGAAGAUCUACAUUCAUUGUCAUGACUCAUAUGACCUAGAGUGGGCCUCUACAGUCAACUGGGAGUAUUGGCAAGUAUUCCUUCUGACCUGGACUCUGUCCCCUGUGUUCCCAGAACCUCAUAGUCACUUCAUUAGUGCCCACAUGGAUGAGUAACGUGAAUAGCAUGAGUCACAGUCAGGGACUGGAUAUGCCCCAACAGUCUUUCCACUGUGCCUAAGGUUUUGGAUUAGUAAAGAAGCCUAUGUCCUGGCAGGAAGGUCAGACUGGCAGAUGGAUGUCUCUGGCCCCAUUACAAGAGUCUCUAAUCAUCCACUCAGAAGUUUAUUGCUGGAGCAGCACAACAAAUAACAGGAUUGUAUAUUACUGAAGAGCUGGGCUGAAAUGUAUUUGUCUUGAAACAAAAAAACAAACAAACAAAGCAAAGCAAAACAAAAAACAAAAAGAACAACAACAACAACAACAAAAAUCAGUAUUUAUCCCUCCUAAAAGAUGUUUACUUUUCUUCCCUACUGGGGUCAAUGGGGAACCUCUGGCUUCUUAUUUCACUAGGCACAGGACCUGAUUCUUAAACAAACCAAAAGUUUUUGUGAUUACUGACUUGGAAACUGAGGGACUGGUCAAAAUACUUUCAACUUCUCUUGUAACUUGAUUUUGAUACUUGGCAGAAAUUUAAGAAAUACUCUUACUUCUUCUUCUCCUAUUUAACGGAUUGCUUCAGCAUUUUUCCUCUUUCACAGCAGGUUUUUUGGUUGUGAAACUCUGUAAAACUCACCUAACUAUAAUGGAGAGUUUUAAAUGAUCUGUUCAGACAGAUUUUUAGAAUGUAAUACAAGCAUAUAUUUCUGAACAUCAAUGCAAUAGUAGAAUGGAGAAAAAAAAACAUUUAACACUACUCACUGUGUACAUUUCUCAUCAUUAAACAGUUGAAAUCCACAUGUCAGCUAUGAUGCAAUUCUGUAAUAGUGCCUCUUCUUUUUCUCAUAUACAUAUGUUAUGAA